GAUGCAGCGACGCCGCGUGGGGGAUGAAGGCCUUCGGGUUGUAAACCCCUUUCAGCAGGGAAGAAGCGAAAGUGACGGUACCUGCAGAAGAAGCGCCGGCUAACUACGUGCCAGCAGCCGCGGUAAUACGUAGGGCGCAAGCGUUGUCCGGAAUUAUUGGGCGUAAAGAGCUCGUAGGCGGUUCGUCGCGUCUGCCGUGAAAGCCCGAGGCUCAACCUCGGGUCUGCGGUGGGUACGGGCGGACUAGAGUGUGGUAGGGGAGACUGGAAUUCCUGGUGUAGCGGUGGAAUGCGCAGAUAUCAGGAGGAACACCAAUGGCGAAGGCAGGUCUCUGGGCCACAACUGACGCUGAGGAGCGAAAGCGUGGGUAGCAAACAGGAUUAGAUACCCUGGUAGUCCACGCCGUAAACGGUGGGCACUAGAUGUGGGGCUCAUUCCACGAGUUCCGCGUCGCAGCUAACGCAUUAAGUGCCCCGCCUGGGGAGUACGGCCGCAAGGCUAAAACUCAAAGGAAUUGACGGA
Molecule: ribosomal RNA, 522 nt
Filed under: uncultured Actinomycetes bacterium
Lineage: Bacteria; Bacillati; Actinomycetota; Actinomycetes
Description: bacterial SSU rRNA
Rfam family: Bacterial small subunit ribosomal RNA
Source: RNAcentral